UCCAUGGGGUGGCUUGGGACGGCUCGCGGCAUGGAGCCUGCGGUGGCCGGCGGUGAGCACAGCAGUGCGACACCGUCUCCCCAUGGUUAUGGUCAACAAGUCCCUUGUGCGGCGAGCAUGAUCGGCAUUGGCCGGCGACUUGGUCGGCAACAUUUCGCGAGGAAAAUCCAUACCGUGGGUAGAAAAAUCCGAAAGAUAAUCUAAUCGCAAAAACGGAAUCGUAACACAAAGAGG
RNAcentral lists this long non-coding RNA (234 nucleotides) under Brachypodium distachyon (stiff brome). RNAcentral's name for it is "long non-coding RNA (BDIS_LNC001964)". Lineage: Eukaryota; Viridiplantae; Streptophyta; Magnoliopsida; Poales; Poaceae. The record is from RNAcentral.